AUUGAACGCUGGCGGCAGGCCUAACACAUGCAAGUCGAGCGGAUGACGGGAGCUUGCUCCUUGAUUCAGCGGCGGACGGGUGAGUAAUGCCUAGGAAUCUGCCUGGUCGUGGGGGACAACGUUUCGAAAGGAACGCUAAUACCGCAUACGUCCUACGGGAGAAAGCAGGGGACCUUCGGGCCUUGCCCUAUCAGAUGAGCCUCGGUCGGAUUAGCUAGUUGGUGGGGUAAUGGCUAACCAAGGCGACGAUCCGUAACUGGUCUGAGAGGAUGAUCAGUCACACUGGAACUGAGACACGGUCCAGACUCCUACGGGAGGCAGCAGUGGGGAAUAUUGGACAAUGGGCGAAAGCCUGAUCCAGCCAUGCCGCGUGUGUGAAGAAGGUCUUCGGAUUGUAAAGCACUUUAAGUUGGGAGGAAGGGCAGUAAGUUAAUACCUUGCUGUUUUGACGUUACCGACAGAAUAAGCACCGGCUAACUCUGUGCCAGCCGCCGCAGUAA
Molecule: ribosomal RNA, 500 nt
Filed under: uncultured bacterium
Lineage: Bacteria
Description: partial 16S ribosomal RNA
Rfam family: Bacterial small subunit ribosomal RNA
Source: RNAcentral